GGGAGAGCUCCCUGCGCCGAGCUGCGCCGCGCUGCGUGCUGGGCUGGAGGCGUGCAGGGACCUGUUUCUGCUUGGGGGGGCGGGAGCCAGGCACAGGAGGAGGGAAGGGACCGUGACACCGAGCCUCUGAGAGCCAGCGGCUGGCUCUGGCCCGACCUUAGUUUUCCCUGGGCAGGAAGAAAGUACUAACAGCCUUCAAAGAGGACAACAGCCCCCAUCACCUCUGUGGGUCUCGCCCAGGAGGAACGGCGUGGUAUCUGCUGGUGACCUAUCUCUCCUUUACUGGUCUGCGCUCGGCAAGCUGCCUGAGAAGGGGCAGACACUUUCAGAGGAAAGGGGAGCUAAAGGGAUGAGCUGUGGUGAACUGGGGUAAUAGGGAGCAAGAGGACCUGGGACUCCAAUGCUCCUCAGUGACACUUCCCCAUGCCCCAGGCUUAACCCUGGCCCUAGCUCCUCCUGCCCAGAGCUCUGCCCCCCAGCAGCUGUGGGCCACCAGUGGGGAGCCAAGCCCCAGUAUUGAUCUGAAAAGCAUGAGGUGGGAAGGGGGAUAGCCAACAGUGUAGUUGAGGUUUCCAUGGAGACCAUGGGAGAGGAAAAAUUCUCUCUGCAUCAAGACCAAAGAACAAAUAUCUCCCAUGAAAUUGCCCCCAGUGUCCAAUGGCUGUUGCUAUGAGGUCAUUGUGGCCAGCCGGGGCCCUGCAGGCUGGAAGGAGUGUGUUUGUUGGGGUCAGAGCCACCCAGGGCUUGGGGGAUGGAGGUGAUGUGGAAUUCUCCCAGCUGUUCUGAGAGCGAGUGACUCCAAGGCAGCCGAAAGUGGCUGCGGAGCUUUUGUGUUUUCUUGGAGGCUUAAUUUGAUUAACACUUCAGGAGCAGUGGCAGAGUGUACAGAAACCAGGGCACCACCACCUCCUCCCUCUGCCCCCCUGCAGGCUGCCCCCAGCAGGGCCUGGAUCACAGAGCUGAGUUUGGACUUGGGGGAGCCCGGAGUCUCUGGAGCUGGCUCUUAAAUACAUGGGCUCAGAGCCGGGGUCUCCAGAACAAGUCUGAGCAUCAGGAGGCACAAGGAGCAGAGUCUGCCUGCCGCAUGCUGAAGGCUGGAAAAGGAGGGAAAGAUGAGGAAACUGAGGCCCAGGGAGAAGCUACCUGCCAAACUCAGAGCCAAGAACUGAAUUCAGGUGCUCUGACUUCCAGGCAGGGAGAUCCUACACCUUCCUGAGGCUGCCCCACAGGAGGCAACCCAGCUUCAGGGUUUGGGUCAUGCAAACCAUGGGGAAUUCCAGCAACUCAGUUCUUGAACCUUCACUGUGGGGGGUGGGUGAGGAGGGGCAGCCUGGAGGGAGAAGAGGUUGGUAAACCUGUUCUCUGCAACUGUGAUGGUUCAGGUUGCCAUGCAGCAGGGCUUUGGAUGACCCAGCUCACUCCUGCUGCACCCGGGCUUUGAGCCAAGGGUCUCUGCUCAGCCCCGGGCAAGAGGAGCAAAGGGGCUUCCCAGAACCCUACAGAACCAGAAGGGCUCCAAAGAAGUCACCCCAGGCACAGUUCCCCACCACCACCAAGGUUACUGCCAUGUAUUUAUCUUCCUCCAUCCCCAGCCAGGGCUUGGAUCAGCCUUGGGGGAAAUAGGUGUCACAGCAUGCUUCCCAGGAGCAAGGUGUAGGUGAAAGGACAGGAUAAAAGCGAAAGCAUGAAUGGGUGGUAGUGUGCAUGCCACAUAGCCCUCAGGGGCCAGAGCUGAGCAUGAGCAACAGUCACAGAGGGGACUUGGCCUGGAGGCCUUAGAAUCAUGACAUCAUAAUUAUAAUAAUAACUCCCACUGUACUAUCUAAAUUCUGAUUACAUUUAAAAUCUACUUUACAAAUGAGAAGAUUCAGGGUCAUAGAGGUAGCAAUUGCCCAGAGCCCCCUAGCUAGUAAGUGGCAAAGGUGUCUGACCCAAAGCUUCCUCUCUUCAAGGAACAGCCUCAGCCAAGCAGCUAUCCAUCCAGGCCAGGUGGUAGCACACCAUCAUUUCAAGGGUGACUCAAGCUAGAGAUCUGGCCCCAAGAGGAUGGCUGGCACUGAGGCACAAGGCCUGAGUGUCUUGUCCCCUGCCAGUACCUGGAGACAGGCUUCUGUCCAGGGCUGAUGGGCUGGCUGGCUGCAGAGCUGGUGCUAUCUAUUGUCUCAGGAGGGCAGGUGAUCUGCCAAGGAG
Molecule: long non-coding RNA, 2190 nt
Filed under: Heterocephalus glaber (naked mole-rat)
Lineage: Eukaryota; Metazoa; Chordata; Mammalia; Rodentia; Bathyergidae
Description: lncRNA (ENSHGLG00100036033.1)
Source: RNAcentral